UAGCUCAGUCAGUUGAACGUGGCGCUAACAACGCCAAGGUCAUGGGUUCGAUUCCCGU
Molecule: transfer RNA, 58 nt
Filed under: Apaloderma vittatum (bar-tailed trogon)
Lineage: Eukaryota; Metazoa; Chordata; Aves; Trogoniformes; Trogonidae
Rfam family: tRNA
About the family: Transfer RNA (tRNA) molecules are approximately 80 nucleotides in length. Their secondary structure includes four short double-helical elements and three loops (D, anti-codon, and T loops).
Source: Rfam by way of RNAcentral